UUAAAUCAAAAUUGUAUGGAGUUGGAACGUUUGCUUACGUUUGCCGCUAGGGGCGCUGUUCCAACUCCAUACAAAUUUGAGUUA
Molecule: microRNA precursor, 84 nt
Filed under: Bombyx mori (domestic silkworm)
Lineage: Eukaryota; Metazoa; Arthropoda; Insecta; Lepidoptera; Bombycidae
Description: mir-2807 microRNA precursor family
Rfam family: mir-2807 microRNA precursor family
Source: Rfam by way of RNAcentral